Molecule: long non-coding RNA, 14319 nt
Filed under: Homo sapiens (human)
Lineage: Eukaryota; Metazoa; Chordata; Mammalia; Primates; Hominidae
Description: HSALNT0333854
Source: RNAcentral
ACUCCACCAGCCGGCCCCGCGGGACGGUUACUCUGUUCCUGAGGUACCCCCCGAGAUUGUCUGUGGGGUCAGAAACAGCUCUGGAGGGGUCUGCAGAAAUUACUUUCCCAAGUCUUUGGGCUGGAAGGAACGAACAGUGCCUGACCAAGGACUUUGAGCAGGAGAGAGAUGGGAGCAGAGAGGAGCCAAGACCGUCUUGGACUACCAGCCUGUCCGCCACCCCUCGGGGCCCUCCCUCCUACUCUGCCCUUGCCCGCUGAGGUCCCAAGCUGAGGAGAUGAGCCGAGCAGUAAAAAGAGAGGAGGUUUGGAAAAGCAAUGUCCUCUCAGUCUUUAAUAGGUGGCCCCCCUGGGAACCUGCUGGAAGUGGAAGUUAAUAAGCUGAAGGUGGUCACAACCAAUCUCUGCCACACUCGCACCCUACCCCACCCCAAAUCAUUCCUUUUAAUUAAUAGUGGAAGACCUUUUUAAAAAUGUAACAUGAAUUGGCUAUUUCUUGAGGCAAACAAAAGGUGGCUCUGAAGCGAUAUAUUUGUACUCGUAUAAAUUCAUUAAAAUAGAAAGCUUAUAACCAUCCAGGUUUCACUGACAGCCCCAGUCCAUCUACAUGCAGAAAUGGUCCCUCCAAAGCCCUCUACGACAAUUAUUCUCACAGAUCGUCAUGAUAAACUGUAAGGGAAUAUACUAAGAAAGAGGGAAGAAGAGAGGAGGAGUCCAUUUUUAAUUAGUGGUUGGAAAUAGAGUAAAAAUUAGAGGGCCUUAGGUUUAAAACACAGAUGUGCAUUGUGAUCGUCUGAAGGAAGAGCUGUUGACAGAGAAAACAAGGUGGUGAACUAUGCCCUUGGCCUGUGACAGUUAGGUGAGGGUUGCUCACCGCAGAAGACAGACCGGUAGAGCCCAGCAGGAAAGAGGGUAUCAGGCUGGAAGAAGUGCAGUUUGGCCCUGGCGGAGUGGUGGAGUGGCUGGAGCGACUGCAGGAGGAGGAUAGAUCUGGAAGCAGGUCUGGGCUAUACUUUGGCCUCAGCCAGGGAGCCAGAGAAGGAAGGCUUGGGUUCGAGGGGGGAAAUCAUUCUCCCAAAUUGCUUUCUCAGAAGCGCCAAUUCAGAUCACCUGAAGACAGGGUCUGGGCCCCAUUACAGCAUGGUUCCCAAAUGGGAGUGUGCUUGGAAGCCUUGGUGAUUAAAGGGUGCUGACUAAAAGAGUCAAACUCUGUAAAAUAUUUGAAGAGAUUUAUUCUGAGCCAAAUAUGAGUGACCAUGGCCCAUGACACAGCCCUCAGGAGACCCUGAGAACAUGUGUUCAAGGUGGUCGGGGUACAGCUUGGUUUUAUAUGUUUUAGGAAGGCAUGAGACUCAAUCAAAGACAUUUUAAAAAUACAUUGGUUUGGUUCAGAAAGGUGAGACAACUCAAAGUGGGGGCUUCCAGGCUAUAGGUAAAUUUAAACAUUUUCUGACUGACAAUUGGUUGGGUUUAUCUGGAGACCUGGGAUUAAUGGAAAGGAAGGUUCAUGUUAAGAUACAGAACUGUGGGGACCAAGUUUUAUUGUGCAGAGGAAUCUCUCAGAUAGCAGACUUCAGAGAGAGAGAGAGCAGGUUGUAAAAUGUUUCUUAUCGGACCUAAAAGGGUACCUGGCUCUUAGUUGAUUAUCUCCUGGAUCUGGGAAGGAAGGAAGGAAAACAAAGGGGAAAGGAAAUAUUUCCUAUAGAAUAUGGAUUUUUCCCACAAGAGACUUUGCAGGACAAUUUCGAGAUAUGGCAAGGAGAUUUAUUUUGGGGUAAAACAUUUUGAUUUUCUUCCUUGUUAUGCCACAGUCAGAUUGGAAAGUCAGUCAUGAUAUACAGGGUCAGAUAAAAUCCGUCUGAUGAGAAUGUAUGGUUGGUAGGGCAUGACUCCCCAGACCCCUUAGAUAGGAAUCUGGGCAAGAUAAAAAAUCGGAGCUUAGUCCUCAAGGGAAGGGGCAGCAGCGCUGUUGGCGGGCUCACCAAGCAUCAGUACUGGAUCACCAGGCUUGGGAGAGUAGGGGUGUCAAGGCCCCAAGAGCAGGGAGGGCCUUGGCCCCACUAGGGGGGCAUCAGAAAGCAGGGAGCACUUGUAGUUCACCAUGAUUCCCCUCAAAGCCCUGGGCCAGCCUCCUGCAGGGAAGGCGGGCAGGAAGUCUUCCCCAUAGGGGCAGGCUUGCUUUUUUGGCCAGCCAUCCUCUUCAUAUGAAAAACAGCAUCUUGUCAUUUCUAGAUGUUUCUACUUUGGUUGACUCUUUAAUUUUUCUGCAGUUAAAAGCCUUAAAACAGCAAGGAAGCAGGGGACAGGAGGGGAGCCCAGAUCUCUCCCAAAGAAAAGGAGAAAGACUGAAUCCUUGAGGCCUGCCGUACAAAGGAGUGGUGGGUUGGAGGAGGGUAGGCAGAGACUAGGGUGGUCUGGGACUUUAAGUACAAGGCCCCGUGGAUUUCAUUGGGGGGCAAGCCAUGUGCAACAGGGAAGCUCAGGAACCGGGGGGUUUCGCACAGAGGUCUGGUGCUGUGAGGUACAGGGAAAGAAUUAGUGGAUCUGGACCAGUGGAACAUUGGUUUAGUGUAAUCUCUGAUUUGUGUUGAGUGAAUUUGAGUAUAGUCCAACCACCACCCCCCUACCCCAACUAAACCAUGUGCCCCUCAGGAGCUGGGACUCUUCUAUUUUCUAUUCCUUAUAGCAGGCUCAGUGCCUGACACACUACGUUGAAUUUUAUUUUAAACAUUUCAUUUACAUUAAAUGGUAUAUUUGCAAGUUCAUUCUUCCAGACCUCAGUUUAUUCUUUUAUCUAGUCAUUUUAAAGGGAUUCUCUCAGACCCUCCACUAGCUAAGAGAACCGAACUUUUCUUCCAGAAUUGUCAGGAAAUGGGACUUACUGACUUAGUGAGCUACUUAUUUUAUCUAGAAUUAACUGUGUCUAAUAAAAUAUAUAUGCACUUUGGGAAUGGAUGAGGUGCUACACAAAUGAAAGAUGGUAUUAUUCAUCAUACAGUGUUUUUGAUUAUAAUAGAUUAUUCUCUGCCAAAACCCAGAAGGGCCAAGUCGAGGUAGGUUGCUGAAAGGGGAGGAAGUCUAAAUAGCAGAAUCAGACUUUUCCAUAAGUUUGCAGUGGCGUAUGGACAACACUCAGGCAACCAGCCCUCGGCACAGCAACAGGGGACCCACCUCCUAAGUUGGGGCUGAGUAAAGACAUAUUCCCGGGGCAAGGCUUUGCCAAGGCAGGCCUCUUCUGAAACAUAAGUCCCAUCUUUCUCCCGGCCCCGCCACCCCACCUCAGAUGUGCUGUCUAGAAGCUGCACAUCUGGGGCCGUUCAAACUCCUGGCUCGAAUCACUGGAAUCAUCUGAGCAGGAUAAUUUUACAUUAAUGAUUAAAAAUUGCUCUUCUAGAUAUAGCCUUGCCUCAGGGUAGCCAUUAAGAACAUUACUUCGUAAUUUAAGAAGCUCAAUGUAGGGCGCUUUGGGCAUUUGCAAAGAGGGAACUGUACUCAUAUCUUGAUAAAUUGCAAAAUGUCUCCCACCAUCUUCUUGUUCUGUAUCUCCUCUUCUGCCUUCUGCCAUUGCACUCUCUGGCAUAUAAUCCUUUUAAAGAAUAAGAACAAAAACAAAAAAAAAAGGAAGAUAAUGAAAAGCCUAUUGUUUCUUAGUGUCCGCUGAUGUUAAACACGCACACGCAUGCACAAUUAUGAAUUUUGUGUAUUUCUUCCGGGGGAUGGAGCCAUAAAGGGUUACACUUUGGUAUGUGAUUUUGGAGCCUACACUUGAAAUGGGAAUUUGAAUGUAGUUGAACAGACUUUUAACAUUGCCCCGAGAAGAAUGAUACUGGCAUUUGCUUGUCUGCGGUGUCACACCCCGGAGUGUGGAGGAUCCUCACCGGCUCUGUGACUCACCCUGGAAGUUGCACCUUUCUCGGGGGGCAGGGUGGGGAGUUACUUUUUAUAAGUAAACCCCAGAGAGCAGUGUUUCCGUAUCAAUCAGUUUCUCAACAAGUUUGAGAGCAGAUUGUGCCUCAAUCCCUAUCGUUGGGGAUGCUCUCCAAGCUCUCCGGGGUGCCGCCAAGCCAGGAUCUCCCAUUCUGAUGCAUCCUGGGUCUCCUCUUCCCUUGCCCCUCUUCCUUGUUCUCCACUCUGAGCCAGCUAGACAGGUGAAGCAGAGAACCUGUCUAGUCCAAACUCCUUAUUUUACAGAUCAGGAGCGUGAGGCCCAGAGAGGGAUUGCCCUUACCCCAUCCUGCAUCCCCUCUCCUCCUCUUCUGCCUUCACCCCAAUACCUUCCAGCGUGAAUGAUGCCCACCCUGUCUCUCUUCUAGCCCCGCAUCCUGCAUUACUCUUUUCACAAUAUUUUUGAGUAAGUGGCCUGCUGCAAUCUUAUAUUUGGCAUGGCAAAGGCAGACCCCUUUCCCUCCCUCCAGACCCCCAGCUCAGCCACUGUGAGUGCUGUAAGGCCAGUCCCCACCUGUGUCCUUCUAUUCAUCACAAACUAAGCACAUGCUACUUUAUCUUUUAUCUCCUCGUGUCCACAAAACAGGCCACAACCAAGGUCAUGCUGCCAAACAGAUCUGGGAGAAUGGUAAUUGACAAUUCACGCUAAAAAUUGUGUUGAACAAAAAUUCUCUUCUAUUAGAAAAAUGACAGGAGAGACAACUUUGCCAUUAUGUUGCUUUCUCCUCAAUCGGGACACACAAAAAAUCUCAAUAAAAAUGUUAUAUCAAAGGCUCGCAAACAUCAUUCAAAUCUUCCCUAACCCAUUGCUUUCAUUUGAAAAACGAGCAUUUCAUUAAAGACACUUGACAGGAUGUUAAUUUGUUGUGGGAAUCUGUCAGUGUCCAAACAAAUACUUGCAUGUUUUGUGCAGAUGAGGUAACCGCUUGUAGAAUGGCAAAACCAGAAGGCAUUUGGGUGACCUGCUUUGGCCUUUUGACUUUACAGAAGAAGAAACUGUUGCCUGGUGAGAGAAAGAGACUUGCCCAGGGCCACUCACUGGUAGUAGAACUGGGACUAGAACGAGAGCCUCCCAACCCCCAGGCAGGGCCCUUCCUUCUCACAAUGGCAGAACCACAAGAUAUUGACAAUGGAAAGGAUCUUGGAGGUCUCCCUAACACUUCUAAAUACUGAAAGGUUGGACCAACCACAUCAAGAGAGAGCCAACUACGCUGAAGAACGUGUCAUCACCUCCUGAGAGCUGCCUGAAUUGGAGGCGCAGGUCCCAGGAAGUAGUGACUCCUCUUCAGAAGCUGGGUCUGCAAGCCUGUGCAAAUGUGAGGUUUCCGGUUCCCUCCCUCCUCUGGUGGAAGCUGCUAGAGGGCAGACACUACGUAUCUCGAUUCUUUGCUGUCACCUUUCAGCUGUCAGCUCUGAUGUUUCUUCAUCCAACGGGUGCUGAUGGAAGCUCCCCAGCUGCUGGGUCAGUCGCCAGCCAUCUGAGGUGUCGACAGAGAAAGAGAAAGACCAGGAAACCAUUUCUAACAUAGUUGGCCCAGAGCAGAGAGUGAAUCACCAGAAACAGACUGGAAGAGGCUAUAAAACGAAAAUAAAACAGGAUGGUAAUUUAUGAUGAGCAGUAAAAAGGCCUGGGACGCUGAACAGCUAGUGAAGGUUCAUUUCCCUCUACUCUGUGGAUCUUUAACCAUGCUGAGCAUUUCCCUGUCCAGCCUGGCAGCCCCUAAAAUUUGGAAAGCCCUCUGUCCCCCACAUCAAGGUGAGAAAGUAAGGCUGUCUUGACAGCCCUUGGUAUACUGGUUCUCCUCUGCAAAAGCACCUGCCCACAGGGCCCCAAAACCCUUACGAUAAAAUCCAUUUCCAUUGUGCAACACCAUAUAGAUGGUGAGGCACAUUCCCACCCAUUAUCUCAUUUGAUCCUUACAGAAACUCUGGGAGGGGACUUCGUUUUUUUUUUUUUUUAAGAGACGGAGGCUUGCUCUGUCGUUAAGCUGGAGUGCAGUGGUACCAUCUUGGCUCACUGCAACCUCCGCCUCCCAGGUUCAAGUAAUUCCCCUGCCUCAGCCUCCUGAAUAGCUGGGACUACAGGUGUGUGCCACCACACCUGGCUAAUUUUGGGAAGGGCCUUUUAUGAAGACAUAAGGGUACUGAAAAUCACUCACAGCAAAUCAAAGACCCAAGACCUGACAAACCCCAGACCUGGACUCAGGACGACCCAACAACCUAUUUCAAGAUCAAAGUCUUUCUCAAACCUGCCCCAUGAGCCUUGCUAGGAGCAGAAGACUUUGAAAUUUAAGAUAUUAAGUGUAGGCUGUUCCCCUACUUCUACACUCCUCCCAUCCACGAAGCCCCAAAGGCUGGAGCCCAGGUCCAGGACAAAGGGCACCCACAAAGAGCCUAAAGAGCCUCAAGGUGGAGUGAGCCAACUUGAGAGGGAGGCCAGCAAACCUCUCUGAUGUCAGAGCCUUCAGGCAGUGAUUAGGGCAGGCUACCUCUCUGCCUCUCCCUGGCCCUAUCAGGGUGGUCACCCAUGAGUCACUGAAGUUUAUGGAGCCCAUGGGCUGUCCCUGCUCUGAGGAGCCCAGCUGGGUCUCCACAAGGCCUGGCCAGGUAUCCCAAAGGGCUAAGCCAGCCUCUUCCCCACUUACUGGUGGGUGUGAAUUGCUCCUAGCUGCCUGUACCUGUCGACCUCUCGUCCUGUGCAGGGGGGGUGGUGUGUGCCCUCAAGCUCCCAAUCUACAAAGUUCAAAAGUGAGGGCAUGCAGCAACUGGUGAGAGGGCAUCCUUCCAAGCUGGGUUUAGAAGGUGUCUGAAUGAGGAGGGAGGUGCCUGGAAGCAGAGCGGCUCUGGACACCCUCACAUUCGUGUGGCUGUUUCUUGGGUUGACCUGGGGGUCUUCCUAUGGGACUGUCCCUCUGUAGUAUGGUGGAGUAGGAGGGAAGAGGGCCAGAGCUGAGAGCUCUGGGGUGGAGUCCAGUGCCAGUCCUACCACUGACUCAUCAUGUGAGUCACCUCUCUUGAGACCCAGUCACCUCUACUUGUCCAUUUUAUAGUACCCUUGGAAAGUUCCCAUGAGUUAAUGGGUAUGGAAGGACCUGGUAAAUAAAUCAAGUGCCCCUGAGUUGUAGGGUGCUAUAACUAUCAUUAGCUGAGCAAGGAGGUUACCAACAGCCCCAUCCCAUUCCUGAUGCAUCUUGGGGCUAUUUAUGGCGAGUCCCCAGGCCUGCUACCGCCAUCGUGUCCUCAGCACAUCAGGGCUUGCUUGUUCACAUACCCCUCCCUGUGUACAAGCCUGAAACUCAGGGAAAGCAAAUGCAACUCCACAUCAGGCCAAGGUAGAGGACCCGAGGGUCACUGAUCCCGAAUAUUCCCAAGCCCACUCCCUACCCCCACAGACAUCCUUUCUUUUUAAUCAUCCUCUCCCCAUGAUUCCUCAGAGGAAGGAGGAGGCCACCCAGCUCAGAGCCCUGUUCUGCUCUCUGCUCAUCUACCUGAAGCUCAAACUGUCCUGAUCUCCAUGCUUUUCAAGAACAGGUGUCAGCAAAGACCUCAGGCAUCCUCAGCAGAAGGCCUGAGAGCUAUGGUCUCUAAUUGAGGCUGUUCACCGGACGCUGACUUACCGGUCUGAAGACCUCAAGACCCAGAAGACCACUUCUGGUUACUAGGCUGGGCAGCAGCUGCCCUAAGCCUCUCUUUGGUAUUAAUUUCCUAAUCUGCCCCAAGAACCCCAGGUUCUUCUUAGGACAGUUUCUGCUGGCUGUUCCCUUUUAUUUAACCCAGAGUACCCCUUGGGUCACUUGAUACUUGAGAGGAGAAUUCUUUGUUAAGCUAGAGCACAGAUUUCAAAAGUGAUUUUUCAGGGGCGUGGAUGCCACCACCAGGAUCUUAGGGGAUGGCCUCCCCUUGCUCCCCAAAUGCCCAAAUUCUGAACUCUUGGGUGUCCAACCCCACCCAGCCAGUCCCCAAAAACUGCUUCUCCUUCCUCUCUCUUGCUCCGCAACACCUCCUGGCCCCAACAACGCCACUAUUCCUUGAGUGGUUUGACAUAAGUGAAGUAACAGGUAUAAAACUGAGUUUUGAAGUAAUUGACGCAAGAAUUUGGACUCUGGAGAACUUCCCAGAGGAAUGAAAAUCAGCAACGUGGUGGCCUAUUUGGAAAAGACCUGCCAUGAUGAACAAACCCUAACAAUGCUAAGCAGGUCUGUCUGCUCCUUCCAAUUCCUUUUUUUUUUUUUACAUCUAUUGUGCACUUUAUUUCUAUUAUUACUACAUUGUAAUACAUAAUGAAAUAAUUACACAAGUCAUCAUAAUGUAGAAUCAAUGGGAGUCCUGAGCUUGUUUUUCUGCAACUAGAUGGUCCCAUCGUGAAGAGAUAGGAGACAAUGACAUAUCAUCAGGCAUUAGAGUCUCAUAAGGAGCAUGUGACCUAGAUCCCUUGAACAUGCAUUUCACAAUAGGAUUUUCACUCCUAUGAGAAUCUAAUGCCUUUGCUGAUCUGACAGGAGGCAGAGCUCAGGUGAUAAUGUGAGCAACGGGGAGUGGCUGGAAAUACAGACGAAGCUUCACUCGCUUGCCUGCCACUCACCUCUUGCUGUGCAGCCUGGUUCCUAAUAGGUCAUGGACCUGUCCAUGGUUUGCAGGCUGGGGACCCCUGCAAGGAUCCAGAUUUAAAUUCAGAAGAAGCUUCAUCUACUUCUGUAGUUCCAUUUUCUUGCAAUACCUGCUGCAGCAAACUUGAACAUUGCAGGAUUUUCUCAAGCCGCUCAAUUUGGUCAUCUUGCUUUUUAAUAGUUUUUCUUAUCACGGCAUUUUCUACUUCAAGCCUUAUUUUGUGUGCUGCUUCACAUUGUAUUUUUGUGCAUGGCCUUCCGUCUCCAUAGUACAUCUUAUAGUUGCUGUAAGUUGAUCCUGUAUUUCUUGAAAAUUUUAUUCUUAGCCUCAAUUGCAUAAUCUUCUGCAGUCUUUCCAUAUGCAUCUCGAGAAAACACAUCAGUAUUGUGCUGCAGAAGAAGAACGACUAUAUCUUUUUCUCCAAGAUUAACAGCAAGUAUGAGGGCUGAUCUGCUAAGAUAAUCAAUUGCAUUUACAUUUGUGUUUUUCUUUAAUAAAACUUCCACCAUUUUCAGUUUUCUUUGACUCACAGCAAGUAAAAGUGGUUGAUAUUCAUAUGAAGGACAUUUUCCGGGGUGUCCAUGGCCAGAGGACGCUGGCCGGCAGCGGUCAAACUUGAACCGCAAACUAGAAGCCACCGCCAAUUCGAAUCCCAAUUCCUUUUUAAAAACACUAUCAAAGAAUGUGUGACAGAGAAUCCACCCAGACUUGAUGAUCUGCACCUCUUCAGGGUAGCUGUGCCAUAGAAACUGGCAAACUGCUGGCCAGGCGCGGUGGCUCAUGCCUGUAAUCCUAACACUUUGGGAGGCCGAGGCGGGCAGAUCACCUGAGGUCAGGAGUUACAGACCAGCCUGGCCAACAUGGUGAAACCCUGUCUCUACUAAAAAUACAAAAAUUAGCCGGGCAUGGUGGUGCAUGCCUAUAAUCCCAGCUACUCAGGAGGCUGAGGCAGGAGAAUCACUUGAACCCAGGUGGCAGAGGUUGCAGUGAGCUGAAAUUGAGCCAUUGCACUCCAGCCUGGGCUACAGAGCGAGACUCCGUGUCAAACAAAACAAAACAAAACUAAACUAAACUAAACUAAACUAAACCUGCAAACUGCUUCUUGGUCUUGGUCUGGGCGUAUUCUCCCAAAUUCGCUAAAGGAAAGGAUAGAAGUUUCUGUGGCCCAGAGCCCAGAACUGAGCAUCCUGGAGCCCCUGCCAGAGGGUGCUGGCAUCCUGCUAAGCAUUCUUCUCCACCCUCCUCCCCAAAGUUCUGCAAAGGAGACCUCAUCCAGGUGCUCCCCAUGCUGGCUGUGGGCGCCAGGCUGAUGGCCCUCCAGAACGGUGCCUUUGGAGGUUUACUGAGGCUGAGUGAAGCCAGAGUUAGUUCCCAUCACUUGUGUCGACAUGGAUAGUUGGACUGCUGCCCUUGCUUAGGGGCCUUUCAUUCUUCACUGGAAUCCAAGUUACACUUCCGCUUCUUCGCUAGUUGGCUGCUGCAUAUCUAAGCUGCUCAGAGUCCGGCCACGGCAGUUCGUCCUGCACUUGCCAGGUGUUUGUAGCUCAAAGGCACCAUGCUUGGCUCAGGGGGCUCCCACUCCCAGUACUUAUGGAGCCCCAAGAAAGGAAUGGCUAGGAAUCCCACCCACAAUGCUCCUGUAAGGCCAAGAUAGAAAAGGCUGCCUUCAGGUGAGCCAGCUCGCCAGUCCUAGAAUGAAGGCAGAAUUCAGCCUAGGCCAAUCUGAAGGCAGUUCUUUUUUUUUCUUUGAGACGGAGUCUCACACUCUGUCACCCUAGCUGGAGUGCAGUGGUGCUAUCUCGGCUCACUGCAACCUCUGCCUCCUGGGUUCAAGCAAUUCUCCUGCCUCAGCCUCCCAUGAUGGUGAUUCUUAAUUAGCAGGGCCUGAAGUAAUGAGUCUCUCUCCCUUCUUUAACAAUGCAGGUGAGACGCUCCCAGGAGCACAGAUCCCGAUGGGGCUGUCUGGCUUUUCUCUUUGCAGAAUGCAUUUAUCCCCUGCCCCUGUUCCCCUCAACCUCCCUCUGUUUAUGUUCAGGCUGAUGUUUCUAUUGAUGUAUUGAUCUCUGCUAGCUGAGGAACAUUUCUGCUGAACACACUCACUUGCUCAGUGGGGGGGCCAGAGGGGCAGGCUCUGCAGGGGGUGCCAGGGACAGCAGCCUCAAGUCUGGCCUAGGGUGGGGAAGGGUGACAUCUCUGCCUGGGACAGAGAUGUUGAUGGGAAACAGAGAAAUGAUUACUUGUAAAGACAAAAGUGGGCAAAGGGAAGAACUAUGAUCAACAGCUGUGGCCUCCCAUGGAUGCCCUGGGGCACGGGGCCUCGUGUGGCAUGGAGACGGACUGGCCUGGAAUCGUUUUACUCCACUUCACUUUUGAGUGGAUGCAGAUCAGUCUUCCCACCUGCAUAGGGAAGCUUUUUUCUCCUUACUCUUCGUCCAUGGUUAAGAGACUCAAAAUAACAUGGGAAUGUGUAUUAAAACCUGUAAACUGCCAAAGGAAUCAAUGUGAGCUAGGAUGCCUUGUUGCCACUACCUGAGGACCUGUGAGGUUUUUAGCUGAGUGUGAUCUUGAGAGCAUAGUUCUCCCCUUAGCAGCUGAAUUGUUUGAAAUGCUUGUUUUCCGGUGCCGUAAAGAAAUCGUACUUGAACAUAAAUUUAUUUAGCAAGGCCAUUUUUACUUCCUGGAGGAAGGGUACACUCGCCAGCAGUUUUGCCACGAGUACACCGAACGAAGGAGACAGGGUCAUUCAUAACCUGACGCGUCCACCCUACUGCUGUAUCCGGUUUCCACUGGCUGGAACGGGACCUCACGUUCUGUAUUUGUCCUGAUUGGCUAGCAACUGAGAACUUUUUAAAAGAGGCAAAGGUAGAGGAGAAUAAAGGAAGGAGGAAGUAACUUGUGUAAUGCUGAGAAAGGUAAAAACACCUUCAAAUAAGGAAGAGGAACAGGCUAUGACCUAAUGCUUGCUUGGACCAGUAUAAGCAACCCAGGACAAAUAUUUAGGCUAAAUUGUGGGAGCUAAGAACAUAAAGUAUAUUGAUUUCUUUAUUACGGCUAGCAGAUAUUUAAGAAUGUUAGCACAGGUCUUUGAAUAAAUUUUGCUUCUAAGAGAAGUUACUAUUUAUUCCUAAUUAGACGGGGAGGAAAGUGUUUGAUAGAGGAACCUUUACUUUUUACAGGGACCCAGACGGGUCUGCAGCGACAGGCUCACAAAGAGGGCCCAUCUGCUGUCCAGAAGAGACAUGCUUGUCUCAGCUCGACAAAGCAGUUCCAUUGCCACGCUCUCACUGCUGGAGCUCCCCGCCCAUCCUCCACCCAGUGGAAUUUGGGGUGAUCCGAGCAAAUCUCUCAUUUUUGCAAAAUUCCAUCAGGCAUUUAACCAAAGGCAGAUUCAGGCUGAGGGUAGGGGAGAGUGAGGGUAGGGGAGAGGGUAGGGGAGAGAGGGUAGGGGAGAGGGUAGGAGAGGGUAGGGGCACACAAAAGAGGGCAGCUUCCUUGUCUUUAAUGUCAUGCGCCUCCCUGUGAAGAGACCACCAAACAGGCUUUGUGUGAGCAAUAAAGCUUUUUAAUCACCUGGGUGCAGUUGGGCUGAGUCCGAAAAGAGUCAGCAAAGGAUGAUGGGAUUUUCAUUAGUUCUUCUAGGUUUGGAAUAGGUGGUGGAGUUAGGAGCAAUUUUUUGUGGGCAGGGGGUGGAUCUUACAAAGUAUAUUCUCAAGGGUGGGGAGAAUAUUACCAAGCACCUUCCUAAGGGUCGGGGAGUAUAUUACAAAGUACCUUCUCAAGGGUGGGGAGGGUGUAUUGUCACAAAGUCAAUUGAUCAGUUAGGGUGGGGCAGGAACAAAUCACAGUGGUGGAAUGUCAUCAGUUAAGGCGGUAACAGGCUAUUUUCACUUCUUUUGUGGAUCUUCAGUUGCUUCAGGCCAUCUGGAUGUAUACGUGCAAAUCACAGGGCAUAUGAUGAUGGCUUAACUUGGGCUCAGAGGCCUGACAUUUAACUUGCCUUCCUCCCUCGAAACAUUUCCUUGUUUUGACUUCUAGCUCUAGGUACCUGCUCACAGAGCCCCUGCCCUCAACACUGUGGUCUUUCCACUCAAGGAAGCCUCAGUUGGCUUUUUGUGGGGUGGUAAGACAUUGCUUGGUCAUGAUGUGAAAUGCAAUGAGACACCACCUUAAUUCGGACUCAACGCCAUCUGGUAGCCUGGUACUUUCACACACAUAACCUGGGAAGAGGUUAGCAAAUUGCAUGUCAGGAAAUGCAUGUUCUUAUCUUUGUGGCAUGAGAAGAAGAAGGAGGCAAGUCCUGGGUCCUAGUUUCAACUCUGCCGUCACUGAGUGGAUAAGCAGUUACUUCAUGACUCCAACCUUUGGUUUUCUCCAGGGCUGGACUCAAGGCCACUCCCAGAGUCUUUUCUGUGGCUCUGACUUCGGAGGCUUUAAGAGCACUGGGGACCCAUUCAUCACAUUUCAAGUCAACUCCGUGAAGAAUCAUUUAGUCAGAAUUAUCCCAGGAGGCUCAGCUCGCCCCCUGAGCAGGUUUCCCAGCAGCACUCCGGCUGGGCCCAUUGCACAUGCCAGCCCAGAGGACUCAUGGUUAAUGUCCGGGCGAGAGAAGCUCGGGACGCUUAUGGUUGGCAGAUUAGCGUUGGGAGGCAUGGCAGUGUUGAUCAAAGGACAACCUUGGGCUGGGCUCAAAGUGGGAGCAAUUGGGAGAAAUAAUUAGGCAGAGUCAGAAAGAAAUGUAAAUACACCUGGACCUGCCUCUCCUGUUCACCAGAGUCCUACAGCUGACGCCUGCACAUAUCUAUGACCAGGAGCUAAGUCCCCCAUUCACGCUCCUGACCAACAUCUGCCUCCUGGGAUGGAGUGGGCCCUCCUCCACACACUGGCAUCCAUUAGGCACACCUUUACACGCUGUACCCCACCCUCUCAGUGUGAGAUGUCCUCAAGGUCACCUGAUCCAGCAGCCUUGAAAGGAGGCCUCUUCACAUGGCAUUGUUCCAAACCCCAGCACCUGCAGGCUCAUUUUCUCUCAACACUUAAUUCCUGGUGGGUAUGGUUUAAAGCUACUCAGAGCUCCAGGACAGUGUGUCUGGCCAGCAAGGGGCCAGGAAGCCAGCCUUCCCCUUCCUUAUGCCGUGGCCUGCCCUCAUUUCCCAUAUCCCCACUGCUCCCUAGCCCCUCCUUCCCAGGCCUGGCUUCAGCAGCCCAUUUGGGCCCUCUUGCCCUCACCCCACCCCACACCCAUCAACUGCAAGAGAAGCUUAUUGGACAUGAACGGUGUCAACACAGAGAUGAACAGGACUAAAAUUCUUGGGAGAAGAGCUCACGGGAGCUGAUGCUUGAUCUGGGUCAAAGGAGUAGAUAGGAAGGGGGGGUGGGUUCCACUUAUUGGCUCAGCCAAGGUGCAGUCUGCCUAGGAACCCUCCCAGAGAGCUGUGGUGGGGGUGGACUCAUUAAAGUAGACCGCAGGGGAGCACCCCACCCUGGCCAGGGAACAGACGCAGCUCAAGUUAGCAUAGUGCAGUGGCCAGCCUGCCGUGGACGGGUGUAAGGGCUGAUCAGAUGAGGGAACAAUUGAUUGUGCCUGACAAGGCCAGGCAAGGCUUCGUGAAGCUGGGCUCUGGCCCAAGUGAGGCCUGGAUAGACAGGUCAGUGCAAAGCUGGAAAGGAGCAGAGCCAGCAACUGUUUUUGAUGUACAGAUGACUGUGCCACUCCCCAGCAGCCCCUUCUUUAUUCUGGGUACCUGGACGUCACCAUGACAACCAAGCC